RNAcentral lists this transfer RNA (69 nucleotides) under Ictidomys tridecemlineatus (thirteen-lined ground squirrel). RNAcentral describes it as "Spermophilus tridecemlineatus (thirteen-lined ground squirrel) tRNA". It matches the Rfam family "tRNA". From Rfam's summary of the family: Transfer RNA (tRNA) molecules are approximately 80 nucleotides in length. Their secondary structure includes four short double-helical elements and three loops (D, anti-codon, and T loops). Further hydrogen bonds mediate the characteristic L-shaped molecular structure. tRNAs have two regions of fundamental functional importance: the anti-codon, which is responsible for specific mRNA codon recognition, and the 3' end, to which the tRNAs corresponding amino acid is attached (by aminoacyl-tRNA synthetases). tRNAs cope with the degeneracy of the genetic code in two manners: having more than one tRNA (with a specific anti-codon) for a particular amino acid; and 'wobble' base-pairing, i.e. permitting non-standard base-pairing at the 3rd anti-codon position. RNAcentral also lists the same sequence under 1 other name. Lineage: Eukaryota; Metazoa; Chordata; Mammalia; Rodentia; Sciuridae. The record is from Rfam by way of RNAcentral.
UGGGUUGUAGCACAGUGGCAGAGUGCUUGCCUAUCAUGUGAGAGGCUCUGGGUUCAAUCCCAGCACCAA